UAAGGGACAAGCUGUAUGUAGUAAUGUUAGAAACCAGCCCAAGUAAUUGCUCUCGCUCACACCUUAUGCAGUAUAAAUAUUAUGUUGUAUCAAUAAACCGAGGAACUCAUUUGGAAACAGCUACCUUAUGUGAGUGUCUCCUUGCUGGUUCCCAAAGCGCGCUUUGAGGGAAGCAGGUUCCUGUCCGUCAACCAGAGGUUCUUAGAAUGUUAACGCCUACAAGCUGGUGUUAGAGGUGGGAUGCAACUAGAAACGUGAAGGGUAAGUGAAUUGUGUCUUUUAGACGCCUAUUCUCUUGCUCUCACUAUUCACAUGUUGCAUCUCUAGUUAAGGGGAUUUUUGGGGCUAGUCUGUGGUAGACUAGGAGCUGGUCUUUGGUAGACUAAAUAAAGGAACUCCCUGGGUGGGAGACACACCUUUGGUAGGCUAAGUAAUAUGGGACUUCUUUGGUAGAAGUCAGGAGUACCGGUACCUAAAUUAUAUUGAAUACAUGUACCUUCUUGACGGCCAGGUUUAACCCUAAUCCCUGUGCAUGACAGCUUGCUUGCUAUAAAAAUUGCUGUAUGGCUAUAUUGCAUAGAGUAUAAGUUAUGUAUAUUAUAUACCAUUGAUGUACUUGAUUUUAAGCCACUGAGAUUGUGAACAAGUUACAGUCUUGUGGGACCCCCUGCGUUCCAAGCAGCUGCUCUUGUUCACUGAUUAAUCAAGGAUACAGAUUGGAUUGAAUUACUCAAUUUUAAGCAUAAAAGCUCGUGAGUAAGUGACAGUAUUGUCGGAACCUUGCUUCCAAGACAGCUGCUCUUACUCAGUCUUGAGUGUUAGAGAGUUCUGACAAAUGCAGGUGAUACCAUGUCUGUGUAAUCUGGUCCAUGUUUGCUCAAUUUCUAUAAGAUUAUAAGAGAGAAAUUCUAUUGACAGGGUACAUAUGUUGCAAUUAGUUAAUGCAAGUUUCAUACAAAUAUCUAAGUUAAGAGCACGCUAUAUAAAGGGAUCCCUUCUUUAUAAACAAUACUGUAGUAGAAUAAUUAAUAAGGUAAUAAAGGAAAUAAAUCUGAUACAAACUAAAAUUGGUAUACCUUACAAUAAUAUAUUCUGAAUACAGCUGUUAAAAGUUUAUUCUGUGUAAAUGGUGACUGUGAUGAUGUGUGAUAUUAUAAUGAUUGCGGAGUAUGAGUUCUAUGGUUUGUAAUGAAUUGGUGUGUUAUGUGUUUUAUUGUCCAUUGUGUAGGAGUUUAAAUAGUAAAUUGAAGACUGUCUGCAUGCCAUUAACACUUCAGUGUUUUGUUUUUUUUGCAAAAGGUGAAAUGCUGUCCAGCCGGCAAGAAUUAAAUUUUAUCAAAUUUAAUAAAAUAAAAGAAUAAAAUUAAAUAAAAGUUCCCUCAAAGCGCGCUUUGGGAACUGGCAAGGAGAAACAAACAAGGUAGCUGUUUCCAAACGACUUCACAAAGCACACUUUGAGGGAAGCUGGUUCCUGUUCCUCAACCAUAGGCUCUUAGAUUGUUAACCCCUACAUUUACUAGAAGAGCAAUUUGCUUUUCAUGAAUAAAAAGAAAUGUCCCCAAUAGUGGUCCUGGAUCCCUGAGUGCAGAUUGCUUCCUUAUCAAAGUUUUCCCAGUAUUCUUUGACCUUCUUCCUGUGUGGCCUUCUUCCACCUCUGACACAAAUAUGCCCUGUGUAUCUUCCCUUACCCUAUUAAGAGAGAGCGAGGGGCAAUAAACUAAAUUCCUUGACAAAAAUAAAUAAAAAUAAAAUAAAAAAUACUAAGUUUUGUUGCAACAAUUCAAACUUAAAAAAGGAUUGUAUCGCAAGAAAAAGCUGCCAGAAAAAAAAGUGAUGCAAUAAUAAUAAUAAUCCAUCUUUGCCCAGCAAUGGCUUUGCACACAUUGAGCUAGCAUAGCGGGAAAAGCUUUUAGAAUGAAAUUUCCAGGCAAGUCUCAUGAUAACUGAGAUAUACUUGCCAGAGCACUCUGUAAGAAAACAAAUAGACUGCUCUAACUGAAAUUUCAUAGCAAUUUCCUCCAAACCGCACAGUCCAACAGACAGCAAUGGUUUUGGACAACCAAAAAUGUAUUUCUCCCGAAUACAUUCGGGAUGAAGCAAAAGUUUCCAUUGUGACAAAAACUGUCUACUGACUAAUUACCUACAUGUUCAUUUCUUUUACACUAGUUGUCUGAGCAACAUGUAAUGUGUGUCUUUACUUUUUUUUUCAGUUUCGUCAUUCUGUCAAAUUAUGAGCCUUCGGGAUUGCUGGGUAGGAAAUUGUUCUGUGUGCACUCUGCGAACUCCCAGUACAGCAAAACACACAGACAUUAGGAGGCUCACUUGCAUAUAUUGAGUAGCCAGAACAUGUUCAUUCUUUACAAGAAAUUGGAUGGUGAAAUUAUGACUCCAAAAAUUACUCAAUAGGGUAAGGGUGGAAUUUGGACUCCGAAGAUGAGGAAAAUUACUGAGUAAAUGUGAGGGUUUUUAAAAAAAUAAAUUCUUUAUAACUAUCAAUUAAAUCAUGUUGUGGUAAAAAUAUUUGCUUAGAAUAUUUAAUCUAUUAUUUUUUUUAUUUAACAUGAAUUAUUCUUGCCACAAUUACUCUUUAAAUAUACAUAUUAAUUCUGUUCAAUAAAGCACAUUUCUGGAUUCCAGAGACAUGUGCUUGAGAAAUUAUAAAAUGAAAAUGCACAAAAGAACUAUGCUACUGUUUGAACGAUUAUUUUAACAGUUUGAUCCUGCAG
RNAcentral lists this long non-coding RNA (2726 nucleotides) under Pelobates cultripes (western spadefoot toad). The record is from RNAcentral. Lineage: Eukaryota; Metazoa; Chordata; Amphibia; Anura; Pelobatidae.